This 302-nucleotide unclassified non-coding RNA is filed under the name uncultured fungus. Its description in RNAcentral is "partial contains small subunit ribosomal RNA, internal transcribed spacer 1, and 5.8S ribosomal RNA". The stretch from base 1 to 73 matches the Rfam family "Eukaryotic small subunit ribosomal RNA", at positions 1759 to 1831 of the family's 1831-position model. The record is from RNAcentral. Lineage: Eukaryota; Fungi.
GCAAACUUGGUCAUUUAGAGGAAGUAAAAGUCGUAACAAGGUUUCCGUAGGUGAACCUGCGGAAGGAUCAUUACCGAUUCUAAAGGAUGUGCUGGCUUUAACAAGCAUGUGCACUCCAAAACCUCAUACACUUGUGCAUCAUUUGUAGUCUGGCAUUAAAGGGAAAAUAUUUUUCCUGCUAUGGCUAUGUUUUAUAUACAAGCUUAUUAUUUAUAGAAUGUUAUAUUGACUUAACAAGUCUAAAAUUUAAUACAACUUUCAACAACGGAUCUCUUGGUUCUCGCAUCGAUGAAGAACGCAGC